Molecule: long non-coding RNA, 703 nt
Filed under: Elaeis guineensis (African oil palm)
Lineage: Eukaryota; Viridiplantae; Streptophyta; Magnoliopsida; Arecales; Arecaceae
Description: long non-coding RNA (EGUI_LNC061673)
Source: RNAcentral
CAGGCUUAGAGGGAUCAAACGAGACUAAAAAUGGAGUUAAAAUAGAUUUAAAUUCAAAGUCGAAAGAUAAUCAAAUCUAAUACCCAAGUUGGUGGUCCACCAUGGACCACUUGGUCCACCAUGGACCACUUGGUCCAUAAGAAAGUUGAUGAGCCGUGAAAUGCUACAGUAAUUUUUACAUGGCUCACAGAGGGUUCUGGCGGGAUGUAUGGGAUUCAAAUCAAAGAUAGGAUGCCUGAGGGGUUUGUAAAACAAACAAAGCUUGGAUUCAAAUGGGCUUAAGAGGAGACUUUGGGCGAACUUUGGCACGCGAGUGUGGAGAUAGGAGUUGGACUUGGCGUGUACACGGAAGCUAACCUUGGUGGUGCGAGAGCACACGAGCGAUUCAAAUUCGGCAACAGGAGUUUGAUGGGAUGCGAGCAACGUGGGGAGGCAGCGUACACGGACCUUAGACUGGAUCUCAUUUGGGUCGCUAACCGCAAUGAAGAGAGAGAUAUUUUUAAAAUUUUAAAAUAAAACAACCACCCCUAUCUUUCCUAUUUAACCAAUUGUCUAUCCAUCCAUCCGUACUUUCCAAAUUAAAUCCUAACCAUUCAUCUAUCCUCUCUUUUUAGUCCCACAUUGAAAAAAUAUAAAAUCCUCCUCCCUGCCUACAUCUAUAAAUAAAGCCUAAUGCCUCCAUUCAUAGUAUCUCUCUCCACUC